This 2569-nucleotide long non-coding RNA is filed under the name Canis lupus familiaris (dog). Its description in RNAcentral is "lncRNA (ENSCAFG00845023861.1)". Lineage: Eukaryota; Metazoa; Chordata; Mammalia; Carnivora; Canidae. The record is from RNAcentral.
GGAUGGAAGCAUGACCUUUAUAUGACUUUGAUUUUCUUUUACAAAUGUGCUUUAUAAACUUGAAAAAAUAUUAGAUGGAGUGUAAAAUGUAAACAUCCAGAUUCAACUCCAGUAAGGAGUUCCUGGGUAGCUCAGUCGGUUGAGCAUCUAACUCUUGAUUUUGGCUCAGGGUCCUGAUCUCAGGGUUGGGAGAUUCAGCCUAGAGUUGGGUUCUGUGCUCAGCAAGGAGUCUUCCUGAAAUUCUCUCUCUCUCCUCUCCCUCCCCUUCUGCCCCUCUCUGCACUCAUGCAAAUGUAUAUUCUCUCUCUCAAAUAAAUAAAUCAUCAAAUUUAACUCCCAAUAAUGAAAAAGUCUAUUUUCAUUUUACAUUGGUAGGAACCAUACAGAGAAAAUAAUAUUCCAAGUGAAUGUUGAAUAUAAUACUCCACCUGUACAUCCUUAAUGGGAUAUAUUCUAAGAAUGAAAAGAACGCAAAGAAAUCUUUUUGGGUAGGGAGGGACAGAGGGAGGAGUGGGAGAAUCUUAAACAGGCUUCAUGCUCAGCAUGGAGCCAAACAUGGGGCUCAAUCUCACAAUGGGAUCAUGACAUGAGCCAAAAUCAAGAGUCAGAGGCUUAACUGACUGAGCUACCCAGAUGCCCCAAGAACUGUAAAAUCUUGAAACUAAACUAGAUAAUUUUAUUGCUAAUAGUAAUAUUCAUGUUAGAAUUAUCAGGCCCCAAGAUUUUCACUGCCAGAGAAAAAGAUAUAAACAUAAAACCAGAAGUUCAGAAAUACCUUUAUAAUAGUAAAUAUGAAUUAGAAAUAUUAACAUGAAGUCAUUUAAAAAUAUUUAAGAAUAUUUCCUAUAUUUGUCCAAGGAGAGAGCCUAGAGCUAAUGAUGCCCCAACUGGGAAAAAGGAAGAUUCCCAGGUAUACAUGAUCUCUCUCGCAAAAUUUGCACUAACACAACCUGCAAAGCCAGGUAAAUCCAACCCUCCACCUUUCAGGUAACCAGAGAAAAAUACAACUGGUCUAACUUAAGUCAUCACCCUAACCUUAAGUGGGUCUCAAUGCUGCCUCAUGUUUGUGGUAUAGCAAUCUGGUCCAUUCACUAUACUACUCUCUUGAUUAUUUCACACUUCCAAGUCACUUCCUUUACCCUGUGAUGGUUUUUGCUUCCUAAUCCCUGAGAAAAUGGAAACAGUCAGAAGAGAACUUGUUAGGCUCCUAUCACUGUAUCUACCCACCUAUACAAUUACAUCUGUUUUGGCUCAUCUGCUACUAUAGAACCUCCCUCUCCUCACAUAAGGCAGAACAUUUCAUGCCCUCCCAUCCUGCUCUCAGGGACAUGACAUCAUCAUUCACUGUCUCUGUUAUCAUCAGUUGUCUCACUAAAUUAUUCCUAUCAGUGUAUAAAUAUGUUAUCUAUUCUCUAGGAAACUUCUCCCAACCCUCAUGCCCCUUGAAAGGUAAUCACUAUUCUGACUUUUAUUACUAUUCACUAGUUUUGUCUGAUCUUAAAUUUCAUAUAAAUGCAUCAUCAUAUAUGUACCGUUGUGACCACUUAUUAUGUCUGUAAUAUGCAUCUAUUUUGUUGCAAUUAUCAAUAGUUUUAAAAAUUAUUGUAUUCAAUUGUGAGACUAUACCAUAAUUGAUUCAUAUAUUGAACAUUUGGGUGGCUCCUAGUUUUUGACUUAUGGAUAAUGCUGCUGUGACCAUUUUAAAAACAUUUAGGAAUACCUGUGCAUAUAUUUCUCCUGGGUAUGUACCUAGGUGAAUUCCUGGAUCACAGGGUAGGUGCAUGUCAUUUUGUACAUAGUGCCAUCAGUUUUCCUAUUGCCAAACAGUUUUCCAAAGUGACUGAAGUAAUUUACCUUCCAUAAGUAAUAUAUGAGAGUUCCAGCUGUUGCUUCAGAUCCCCAGUAAUAUUUGAUAUUGAUGAUCUUUAAUUUUAGCCAUUCUGGUAGGUAUGUUCUCUCAUUAUAUUUUAUUAUUUGUGUGACAAAGACUUCCUUUUCAUAUGCUUGUUGGUCAUUUGAAUAGCCUCUUUUAUGACAGACCUGUUCAGGUUUUAUGCCCAUUAAAAAAAAUUGAGUUAUAUGUCAUUUUCUUACAGAUUUAGAUAUGGGUCCUUUGUCAUGAUAUGUAUAUCAUGAAAAUCUCUUUGUGAUUUGCCUUUUUACUUGUUUGUUUUUGAUGAGUAUAGUUCUUAAUUUUAAUGAAGUCAGUCUUUUAUGAUUAGUGUCUUUUGUGUUCUGUUUGAAACUGUCUUGAAGAAAUUUUUCUGUUUCGAAAGUUGUAUUGUUUUACACAUUUAGAACUAUGGUCUAUCUCACGUUAAAUUUUGUAUACUAUGAUAGGAGUCAGUUUUAUUUUGUUCCAUAAAAUAUCCAAAUGUUCCAAUACCAAUUAUUGAAAAACUAUUCAUUCCCUUACAGACUUGCAUUGAUAAUCUGUCAUAAACUGGGUCUUAGAAUUUCUGACUAUUCUGUUCCACUGGUCUAUUUGUAUGUAUAUCUUUGUGCCAAUCCCACCCUGUUGUUACUAUAACUUUGCAUUAAAUCUUAAAUUCAAAUAUGUUCUUUUUCA